This 213-nucleotide unclassified non-coding RNA is filed under the name Glomus sp. Its description in RNAcentral is "partial contains 5.8S ribosomal RNA and internal transcribed spacer 2". The stretch from base 1 to 65 matches the Rfam family "5.8S ribosomal RNA", at positions 84 to 154 of the family's 154-position model. Lineage: Eukaryota; Fungi; Glomeromycota; Glomeromycetes; Glomerales; Glomeraceae. The record is from RNAcentral.
GUGAAUCAUCGAAUCUUUGAACGCAAAUUGCACUCUCCUCGGAGAGUAUGCCUGUUUGAGGGUCAGCCUAUAAAUAUCGACAUCGUUGCUGUUUCGCGGUGGCGUUCGUCGGAAAUUGGGUCACCUUAAAUCCUUUUGAUUUAUGCGUCUUAAAAUUUUCUUUUUGUUCAAUGAACGUAUCUAAGUUCUAUUUCUUUACACGUUUAUGGUAUU